CGGGUGAGUAAUGUCUGGGAAACUGCCUGAUGGAGGGGGAUAACUACUGGAAACGGUAGCUGAUACCGCAUAACGUCGCAAGACCAAAGAGGGGGACCUUCGGGCCUCUUGCCAUCGGAUGUGCCCAGAUGGGAUUAGCUAGUAGGUGGGGUAACGGCUCACCUAGGCGACGAUCCCUAGCUGGUCUGAGAGGAUGACCAGCCACACUGGAACUGAGACACGGUCCAG
This 228-nucleotide ribosomal RNA is filed under the name uncultured bacterium. RNAcentral's name for it is "partial 16S ribosomal RNA". It matches the Rfam family "Bacterial small subunit ribosomal RNA", at positions 103 to 334 of the family's 1533-position model. The record is from RNAcentral.